This 492-nucleotide ribosomal RNA is filed under the name uncultured bacterium. RNAcentral describes it as "partial 16S ribosomal RNA". It matches the Rfam family "Bacterial small subunit ribosomal RNA", at positions 29 to 507 of the family's 1533-position model. The record is from RNAcentral.
AGUGAACGCUGGCGGUAGGCCUAACACAUGCAAGUCGAACGGCAGCACAGUAAGAGCUUGCUCUUACGGGUGGCGAGUGGCGGACGGGUGAGGAAUACAUCGGAAUCUACUUUUUCGUGGGGGAUAACGUAGGGAAACUUACGCUAAUACCGCAUACGACCUACGGGUGAAAGCAGGGGAUCUUCGUACCUUGCGCGAUUGAAUGAGCCGAUGUCGGAUUAGCUAGUUGGCGGGGUAAAGGCCCACCAAGGCGACGAUCCGUAGCUGGUCGGAGAGGAUGAUCAGCCACACUGGAAGUGAGACACGGUCCAGACUCCUACGGGAGGCAGCAGUGGGGAAUAUUGGACAAUGGGCGCAAGCCUGAUCCAGUCAUACCGCGUGUGUGAAGAAGGCCUUCGGGUUGUAAAGCCCUUUUGUUGGGAAAGAAAAGCAGCAGGUUAAUACCCCGCUGUUCUGACGGUACCCAAAGAAUAAGCACCGGCUAACUUCGUG